UGCGGAGACACGUGAUCCCACCGCCGCUCUGACUAAAAGCUUGGAUUUGACACUUGGAUGUCGUGCAGCGUCGUGGCGCGUCGCGGCCACCAGGGGUCGCAGCGUACUAAGGUGUUGCCGGCCAGGCAGCUAACGGGAGAGGUGUGAUGAACCUGGGAUGUAUAAAGCCUCCCGCACAGCAUCGAGAAACCAGGGGAACACCUUGAGAGAGACGCAGACGCGCCGCCCCGGAGCCGCCGGAGGACGCAGCCGAGCGCAACAUGGGCCUGCGUGGCGCAUGUGGACGGGCGAGCCAACACACCGCAGGAAUGUGUGCAGUUAAGAGGGAAACACAUGCUCGGACAUUACUCUGUGUAAUCGUUUUCAAGUCCUCUCUGAGUCUAAUUGAAAAUACUGGGGCCACUUUGCUGCGCCCCCGACGGAAACCUAACAUUGGAGACGAGCCAGUGACGCGCUGAAAAUAACCAGGUUAGCACUUAGUGCCGGUCCAUUUUGGGGAGGGCCCAACACGAGGGCGCAGCACCAUAUAUCAGCUCCUUCCAGCUGUUUGGGAAUAUCCUGCUCAUAAUAUCGCGGCUGCAGCAUGGCAGCAGGCUGCUUUUUCACUCCCGCUCUCCCUGUUUGCAGAAUGGAUACUGUGUGACUGACCGGGUGCUGGGUGCGCACUGGGGGGAUCUCCCGAUAGGAAACGCUGAAGCUUCUUCUUCUUUUUUUUCUUUUUCUUUUUUUUUUUUUUUUUGUUGGGAGGGCAGGAGGUGGGAGACUGGCACAAAGCGCGACACUGUUGCGUCUGCACGUUUUUUUCUCCUUGAACAGACGGGGAAAGAUGGGCCGGGUUGGUUGGUUGGAGAGGGGGGGACUGUCCGACUUAUUCCAAAAGACAAUUCGUUGGCCUCCAACCCCCUCAAAAGGAUAAUCUUGCUCAAUUUGGGAUGCGAGCAGCGCCAAGUGAUCACAUAUUAGUUGGGCGGCGGUGCUGCUGCUGCUGCUGCUGCUGCUGGCGGUGGAUGGACGGUGAAGUUUAACUUCGCUUCCAGACGCGGUCUCCUCUCCAGGCAGCCAGACAACCAACCAGACAGUCGGCGCUUUUCUUUUUUUUCACCUCCCUUUGAAAAAAAAAAAAAAAAACAAAAAAAAAACGUGAAGUCUCCAUAUGGCUACGGGAUGCUGACACCUGCCCGGUGCGCAGGUAACUCCAGGUUCUCCUGCCAGACAGCAGAUCAAUAGCUCAGUGGCUCUGAACCUAUUGUGGGGCUAACAUGGCUGCCAACAAUAAGACAUGAUGACAUUGUCCUGCUCUCUUGCUGGAGGCCUCCCAGUAAGGAGUUCUUGUGAAUG
Amphiprion ocellaris (clown anemonefish) is the source of this 1338-nucleotide long non-coding RNA. Lineage: Eukaryota; Metazoa; Chordata; Actinopteri; Pomacentridae. The record is from Ensembl.